This 497-nucleotide ribosomal RNA is filed under the name uncultured bacterium. RNAcentral describes it as "partial 16S ribosomal RNA". It matches the Rfam family "Bacterial small subunit ribosomal RNA", at positions 28 to 507 of the family's 1533-position model. The record is from RNAcentral.
GAUGAACGCUGGCGGCGUGCCUAAUACAUGCAAGUCGAGCGACAAGACAAGAAGCUUUCUCUCUUGCCGUUAGCGGCGGACGGGCGAGUAACACGUGGAUAACCUACUUAUAAGACGGGGAUAACUUCGGGAAACCGGAUCUACUACCGGAUAAUAUAUUGAACCGCAUGGUUCAAUAGUGAAUGACGGUUUUGCCGUUACUUAUAGCUGAAUCCGCGCCGCAUUAGCUAGUUGGUAAGGUAACGGCUUACCAAGGCGACGAUGCGUAGCCGACCUGAGAGGAUGAUCGGCCACACUGGAACUGAGACACGGUCCAGACUCCUACGGGAGGCAGCAGUAGGGAAUCUUCCGCAAUGGGCGAAAGCCUGACGGAGCAACGCCGCGUGAGUGAUGAAGGUCUUCGGAUCGUAAAACUCUGUUAUUAGGGAAGAACAAAUGUGUAAGUAACUAUGCACGUCUUGACGGUACCUAAUCAGAAAGCCACGGCUAACUACGUG